UGGGGAGUCUUGCACAAUGGGCGGAAGCCUGAUGCAGCGACGCCGCGUGGGGGAUGACGGCCUUCGGGUUGUAAACUCCUUUCGCCAGGGACGAAGCCGUGAGGUGACGGUACCUGGAUAAGAAGCACCGGCUAACUACGUGCCAGCAGCCGCGGUAAUACGUAGGGUGCGAGCGUUGUCCGGAAUUACUGGGCGUAAAGAGCUCGUAGGUGGUUUGUCGCGUCGUCUGUGAAAUUCCGGGGCUUAACUCCGGGCGUGCAGGCGAUACGGGCAUAACUUGAGUGCUGUAGGGGAGACUGGAAUUCCUGGUGUAGCGGUGAAAUGCGCAGAUAUCAGGAGGAACACCGAUGGCGAAGGCAGGUCUCUGGGCAGUAACUGACGCUGAGGAGCGAAAGCAUGGGUAGCGAACAGG
Molecule: ribosomal RNA, 412 nt
Filed under: Bacillota bacterium
Lineage: Bacteria; Bacillati; Bacillota
Description: Firmicutes bacterium partial 16S ribosomal RNA
Rfam family: Bacterial small subunit ribosomal RNA
Source: RNAcentral